CCUACGGGAGGCAGCAGUAGGGAAUCUUCCACAAUGGACGAAAGUCUGAUGGAGCAACGCCGCGUGAGUGAAGAAGGGUUUCGGCUCGUAAAGCUCUGUUGGUAGUGAAGAAAGAUAGAGGUAGUACCUGGCCUUUAUUUGACGGUAAUUACUUAGAAAGUCACGGCUAACUACGUGCCAGCAGCCGCGGUAAUACGUAGGUGGCAAGCGUUGACCGGAUGUAUUGGGCGUAAAGCGAGUGCAGGCGGUUCAAUAAGUCUGAUGUGAAAGCCUUCGGCUCAACCGGAGAAUUGCAUCAGAAACUGUUGAACUUGAGUGCAGAAGAGGAGAGUGGAACUCCAUGUGUAGCGGUGGAAUGCGUAGAUAGUAGGAGGAACACCAGUGGCGAAGGCGGCCUGCUGGGCUUUAACUGACGCUGAGGCUCGAAAGCGUGGGGAGCAAACAGGAUUAGAUACCCUAGUAGGC
Molecule: ribosomal RNA, 465 nt
Filed under: uncultured bacterium
Lineage: Bacteria
Description: partial 16S ribosomal RNA
Rfam family: Bacterial small subunit ribosomal RNA
Source: RNAcentral